This 497-nucleotide ribosomal RNA is filed under the name uncultured bacterium. RNAcentral's name for it is "partial 16S ribosomal RNA". It matches the Rfam family "Bacterial small subunit ribosomal RNA", at positions 28 to 507 of the family's 1533-position model. The record is from RNAcentral.
GACGAACGCUGGCGGCGUGCCUAAUACAUGCAAGUUGAGCGCUGAAGGUUGGUACUUGUACCAACUGGAUGAGCAGCGAACGGGUGAGUAACGCGUGGGGAAUCUGCCUUUGAGCGGGGGACAACAUUUGGAAACGAAUGCUAAUACCGCAUAAAAACUUUAAACACAAGUUUUAAGUUUGAAAGAUGCAAUUGCAUCACUCAAAGAUGAUCCCGCGUUGUAUUAGCUAGUUGGUGAGGUAAAGGCUCACCAAGGCGAUGAUACAUAGCCGACCUGAGAGGGUGAGCGGCCACAUUGGGACUGAGACACGGCCCAAACGCCUACGGGAGGCAGCAGUAGGGAAUCUUCGGCAAUGGACGAAAGUCUGACCGAGCAACGCCGCGUGAGUGAAGAAGGUUUUCGGAUCGUAAAACUCUGUUGGUAGAGAAGAACGUUGGUGAGAGUGGAAAGCUCAUCAAGUGACGGUAACUACCCAGAAAGGGACGGCUAACUACGUG